GGGGGUGAAUUAGUGUGUUUUCAAAAUCAGAGUCUUUUUGCAAUCUUUGAUUCAAAGUACAAAAUUUUACAAACUUUCUUGAAUCGCAAGUAAUAGAAAAUUAAGUGCAGCGGAAAAUCAAAGUAGACUACGUGAAUUAUAAAGUCGACUGAAUGUAAAAGAGUAAGGAUAGAGAAUUCAAACCAGGUUUUUAUACUGGUUCGGCCUGUUGAGUCGAUAUUUUAUUGAUUUCACUUAGUUUAUUGUGCUAGAAUU
RNAcentral lists this long non-coding RNA (255 nucleotides) under Vigna radiata. RNAcentral's name for it is "long non-coding RNA (VRAD_LNC006839)". The record is from RNAcentral. Lineage: Eukaryota; Viridiplantae; Streptophyta; Magnoliopsida; Fabales; Fabaceae.